This 125-nucleotide small nucleolar RNA is filed under the name Meriones unguiculatus (Mongolian gerbil). Its description in RNAcentral is "Small nucleolar RNA SNORA17 (ENSMUGG00000026495.1)". It matches the Rfam family "Small nucleolar RNA SNORA17". From Rfam's summary of the family: snoRNA ACA 17 belongs to the H/ACA family of snoRNAs and is predicted to guide pseudouridylation of the 28S rRNA at positions U4659 and U4598. It shares the same host gene together with ACA43. Lineage: Eukaryota; Metazoa; Chordata; Mammalia; Rodentia; Muridae. The record is from RNAcentral.
GCUUCCCCUAGAAGCAUUGCAGGUGUGGCUGCUGUGUCACAUGAAUGUCAGUACAUGGAAGAGUGGCUGUGUCUACACUCAGUGAUCUUACCUAUGAACACCUGAAUGGCUAGAAGCCUAAUAUU